Solanum tuberosum (potato) is the source of this 106-nucleotide non-coding RNA. Lineage: Eukaryota; Viridiplantae; Streptophyta; Magnoliopsida; Solanales; Solanaceae. The record is from Rfam.
AUCCCAUUGUGGGGCCAUUUUCUCAACAAUCUUUGAACUUCUCCCAUGCUUCAAGCAGAGUUUCUAAUUCGAGUUGUCCGAAAUUGCUGAUUUCUUUUCUCAUUCU